GCAAAACAAAAUAAAAAACAUGUUGGGAUGAGUACAGUUGUUUCUGGUUCCAGAGGAGAUACCAAUUUUCUGGACUGGAAGAGAAGGACAAUUCCUGGCAGACUGGCAGAGAUGGUCAUCCUGGUCGGACGGUGUUCUCUUUCCAGUUAUACUUGGUAUUUACAACAUAACUUAAGUGUUGUUACGGCAUAACGAGGACUCUCUAUUCUACUCAGGAACACCAGGCUUGGUGACUUUUCAUCGUUCCCAUUACUUACGACCUACGCAACUCGCUGGAGCUCCCACGUUUUCAGGAGGGAUGAUUUGCUCAUGCAUUGCCGAUGCAAACAUGCGUAAAACGAGCGACAACACAAGGAGGCACGCAUGUGACGGGCGCUCUGAGGGAGGUAUGAGCAAAGUGGAACCAGGGCAUCGGAGAACCACCACAGUGGUGCCAGCCGGGCACAGUGGGGAAGGCCACGUCUUUAUUCAUGGCAGAAAGCGGAAGGGCCAAGAGGGCCUUUCUCUAUAUUUAGAGUGGGUAGGAGGAUGUCCUCUCAGAAAGUUCGAGCUGGGGAGUUUAAAGGCUUAAAGAAUAGGACGCAUGUCUGGGCUCUUGGGAACCCUCAGAAUACAUAGUCCCCCUCCCCCCGGGGGAUCUUUUUGGUACGUAAAGUUCUGAAUUGAAGAAUCCUUUUAAUUACGCCUGUGUGUGAUCUGGAUUAGAUGGACUUGACCAAGCAGUUAAAAUCAAAGCCCUGGCAUGCCACGUGAGCAAAAGCGGGUCAGGAGCCCUGCUGGCAGCAUUCUCCGUUAACAGCCUGGCUUCUUUUGGGGUUUGCUAACCCAGCACGAUAGAUUACAAACUAAUGAAAGAGAGGGAGAUACAGGAAAAGAAUUUCUUAAUUUAUAUAAGGACUGUAUCUUUAAUUUUUAAAUUAAAGAUUUAGC
This 930-nucleotide long non-coding RNA is filed under the name Equus caballus (horse). Its description in RNAcentral is "lncRNA (ENSECAG00000049735.1)". Lineage: Eukaryota; Metazoa; Chordata; Mammalia; Perissodactyla; Equidae. The record is from RNAcentral.